This 72-nucleotide small RNA is filed under the name Methylomagnum ishizawai. RNAcentral describes it as "int-alpA RNA". It matches the Rfam family "int-alpA RNA". Rfam says of the family: Acidobacteria (1 example), Planctomycetes (1 example), Proteobacteria. Environment (Lake Washington) The record is from Rfam by way of RNAcentral. Lineage: Bacteria; Pseudomonadati; Pseudomonadota; Gammaproteobacteria; Methylococcales; Methylococcaceae.
GCCGCGCCUAGCCUUUGGCCGGGCGAAAACCGGGCACCCUUCACCCGGCGGGCGCGGCUCCUGAACCUUGGG